GCGGUUGUAGCUCAGUUGGUUAGAGCGCAGGCUUGUGGCGCCUGAGGUCAGUGGUUCGACCCCACUCAACCGUA
RNAcentral lists this transfer RNA (74 nucleotides) under Rhizobium sp. Leaf306. It matches the Rfam family "tRNA". From Rfam's summary of the family: Transfer RNA (tRNA) molecules are approximately 80 nucleotides in length. Lineage: Bacteria; Pseudomonadati; Pseudomonadota; Alphaproteobacteria; Hyphomicrobiales; Rhizobiaceae. The record is from Rfam by way of RNAcentral.